RNAcentral lists this ribosomal RNA (321 nucleotides) under Triticum aestivum (bread wheat). RNAcentral's name for it is "partial small subunit ribosomal RNA". The record is from RNAcentral. Lineage: Eukaryota; Viridiplantae; Streptophyta; Magnoliopsida; Poales; Poaceae.
UCGAGCAAGGCCCCAUUCGAAAUUCUCUAUAGCAGGAAGUGUCGUACUCCUCUUAACUGGUCAGAGACUGGUGAACAUCAACUUCUUGGCAAUGACUUGAUCACAGAGGCAGAAGAGAUGUGCAAAGUCAUUCGUGAUAAUCUCAAAGCCGCGCAAUCGCGCCAGAAGAGUUACUAUGAUAGCAAACAUCGUGACUUGGCUUUCGAGAUCGGAGACCAUGUCUACCUCUGCGUCUCUCCAAUUAAAGGUACUCGUCUCUUCGGUAUCAAAGGGAAGCUUGCCCCUAGAUACGUGGGUCCUUUCAAGAUCGUCAGCAAAAGA